This is a long non-coding RNA of Bombus terrestris (buff-tailed bumblebee), 579 nucleotides long. RefSeq lists it as uncharacterized. The record is from RefSeq and is a predicted model, not a curated record. The transcript is spliced from 3 exons. Lineage: Eukaryota; Metazoa; Arthropoda; Insecta; Hymenoptera; Apidae.
UUUUACCAGCGUGGUUCGGGCUAGUGAAAAUAGUUCGCAGGACGAGCGGUAUCCAAGAAUUAUGCGGGUUCAUCGAUUAGUGGACGCAGAGGCAACAGCAAGUUUCCAUAACUGCAUCCCUUCUCCCGGUGACACGCUAUAUUUGCGCUUGCUCAUCCGGGUGCUUGGUCAAACAAUAAAUAUGCGUGACUUAAGCUCACUUUGCAUGUUGCACGGAGCGGGUUGCGUGGACCCGGGAACGAGGCUGCACACGUGCAUCAGAGACUGAAUCCGUGCGUCUCCCCGUAGCCUGAUAAUCGAGCCAGGGUUAUGCAUGCGGAUUACGUAGCUUCCAGACGCGUAUCAAACGCGUGCCAAACUCGUUAUUUCGAAAUUGCGAAUCUUCCACAAUAUAAAGGACGAAUUAUUCAUUGUUCGAUAUUCUAUGCGGCUCGUGUGUCCCGAACGUGUUCUUAAAAAUCUUUCCCCACUCAGCAUGUUACAUCGAGGGUCAGAUCUUCAGCUUUUAUCCAAGCAAAAUAAAAUGCCACGCGUUACAAAGCACGGUUAUGAUUUUCCUUAUAUUUCGGCCGUACGACC